CCCCAUUCCCAUACCACCCUGAACACACCUGAUCUCAUUUGAUUUCCAAAGCUAAGCAAGGUUGGACCUGAUUAGGACUUAUAUAUAGGAUCAUAAGGUAAGAGUAAGGA
This 110-nucleotide ribosomal RNA is filed under the name Pogona vitticeps (central bearded dragon). Lineage: Eukaryota; Metazoa; Chordata; Lepidosauria; Squamata; Agamidae. The record is from RNAcentral.